RNAcentral lists this ribosomal RNA (1478 nucleotides) under uncultured Flavobacteriales bacterium. RNAcentral's name for it is "16S ribosomal RNA". It matches the Rfam family "Bacterial small subunit ribosomal RNA". The record is from RNAcentral. Lineage: Bacteria; Pseudomonadati; Bacteroidota; Flavobacteriia; Flavobacteriales.
AGAGUUUGAUCCUGGCUCAGGAUGAACGCUAGCGGGAGGCCUAACACAUGCAAGCCGAGCGGUAUUUUUCCUUCGGGAGAGAGAGAGCGGCGCACGGGUGCGUAACAGGUGUGCAACCUACCUUUAUCAGGAGGAUAGCCCAGAGAAAUUUGGAUUAAUACUUCAUAAUAUAUCGAAUGGCAUCAUUUGAUAUUGAAAACUACGGUGGAUAAAGAUGGGCACGCCCUAGAUUAGCUAGUUGGUAAGGUAACGGCUUACCAAGGCUACGAUCUAUAGGGGUCCUGAGAGGGAGAUCCCCCACACUGGUACUGAGACACGGACCAGACUCCUACGGGAGGCAGCAGUGAGGAAUAUUGGACAAUGGGUGGAAGCCUGAUCCAGCCAUCCCGCGUGAAGGACGACGGCCCUACGGGUUGUAAACUUCUUUUAUAUGGGGAUAAACCUCUUUACGUGUAGAGAGCUGAAGGUACCAUAUGAAUAAGCACCGGCUAACUCCGUGCCAGCAGCCGCGGUAAUACGGAGGGUGCAAGCGUUAUCCGGAUUUAUUGGGUUUAAAGGGUCCGUAGGCGGGCUGAUAAGUCAGAGGUGAAAUCCUACAGCUUAACUGUAGAACUGCCUUUGAUACUGUUGGCCUUGAAUUUUUGUGAAGUUGCUGGAAUAAGUAGUGUAGCGGUGAAAUGCAUAGAUAUUACUUAGAACACCAAUUGCGAAGGCAGGUAACUAACAAACGAUUGACGCUGAUGGACGAAAGCGUGGGGAGCGAACAGGAUUAGAUACCCUGGUAGUCCACGCCGUAAACGAUGAUUACUCGUUUUUGGGUUUAAUUACUCAGAGGCUAAGCGAAAGUGAUAAGUAAUCCACCUGGGGAGUACGUCCGCAAGGAUGAAACUCAAAGGAAUUGACGGGGGCCCGCACAAGCGGAGGAUCAUGUGGUUUAAUUCGAUGAUACGCGAGGAACCUUACCAGGGCUUAAAUGGGAAUUGACAGGCGCAGAAAUGUGUUUUUCUUCGGACAAUUUUCAAGGUGCUGCAUGGUUGUCGUCAGCUCGUGCCGUGAGGUGUUAGGUUAAGUCCUGCAACGAGCGCAACCCCUGCCAUUAGUUGCCAUCAUUAAGUUGGGGACUCUAAUGGGACUGCCAGCGCAAGCUGCGAGGAAGGUGGGGAUGACGUCAAAUCAUCACGGCCCUUACGCCCUGGGCCACACACGUGAUACAAUGGACGGUACAGAGGGCAGCUACCUGGUGACAGGAUGCGAAUCUCGAAAGCCGUUCUCAGUUCGGAUUGGAGUCUGCAACUCGACUCUAUGAAGCUGGAUUCGCUAGUAAUCGCGCAUCAGCCAUGGCGCGGUGAAUACGUUCCCGGGCCUUGUACACACCGCCCGUCAAGCCAUGGGAGCUGGGGGUGCCUGAAGUCGGUGACCGUAACAGGAGCUGCCUAGGGUAAAACUGGUGACUAGGGCUAAGUCGUAACAAGGUAACC